Molecule: ribosomal RNA, 468 nt
Filed under: uncultured bacterium
Lineage: Bacteria
Description: partial 16S ribosomal RNA
Rfam family: Bacterial small subunit ribosomal RNA
Source: RNAcentral
GACGAACGCUGGCGGCGUGCUUAACACAUGCAAGUCGAACGGAAAGGCCCUGCUUUUGUGGGGUGCUCGAGUGGCGAACGGGUGAGUAACACGUGAGUAACCUGCCCUUGACUUUGGGAUAACUUCAGGAAACUGGGGCUAAUAACGGAUAGGAGCUCCUGCUGCAUGGUGGGGGUUGGAAAGUUUCGGCGGUUGGGGAUGGACUCGCGGCUUAUCAGCUUGUUGGUGGGGGAGUGGCUUACCAAGGCUUUGAGGGGUAGCCGGCCUGAGAGGGUGACCGGCGACAUGGGGACUGAGAUACGGCCCAGACUCCUACGGGAGGCAGCAGUGGGGAAUAUUGCACAAUGGGCGGACGCCUGAUGAAGAAACGCCGCGUGCGGGAUGACGGCCUUCGGGUUGUAAACCGCUUUCGCCUGUGACGAAGCGUGAGUGACGGUAAUGGGUAAAGAAGCACCGGCUAACUACGUG